CCUACGGGUGGCAGCAGUGGGGAAUAUUGCACAAUGGAGGGAACUCUGAUGCCGCGACGCCGCGUGAGUGAAGAAGUAAUUCGUUAUGUAAAGCUCUAUCAGCAGGGAAGAAAGUGACGGUACCUGAAAAAGAAGCUCCGGCUAAAUACGUGCCAGCAGCCGCGGUAAUACGUAUGGAGCAAGCGUUAUCCGGAUUUACUGGGUGUAAGGGGACAGUAGGUGGCAGAGCAAGUCCGAAGGAAAAACCCAAAGCUCAACUGUGGGAUUGCUUUAGAAACUGCUCAGCAGGAGGGCAGGAGAGGGAAGAUGAAGUCUUGGUGUAGCGGUGAAAUGCGUAGAUAUAAGGAGGAACACAGGUGGCGAAGGCGGUUUGCGGAAUUGAAACGGACGUGGAGGCUAGAAAGCGUGGGGAGAAAACAGGAUGAGACACCGGGGGAGGC
This 440-nucleotide ribosomal RNA is filed under the name uncultured bacterium. Its description in RNAcentral is "partial 16S ribosomal RNA". It matches the Rfam family "Bacterial small subunit ribosomal RNA", at positions 338 to 795 of the family's 1533-position model. The record is from RNAcentral.